Molecule: long non-coding RNA, 1042 nt
Filed under: Nicotiana benthamiana
Lineage: Eukaryota; Viridiplantae; Streptophyta; Magnoliopsida; Solanales; Solanaceae
Description: long non-coding RNA (NBEN_LNC010352)
Source: RNAcentral
GAAAAAAAUAAAAAUAAAAAGACCCUAAGAACUUAAUACAAAAUGAACAUAUACAAACUGAGAGUCAGAGCAAUGGCAAAGACCAAAACAACCCCCCCUCCCACCCCCAACAAACCAAACUCUGAAGGUCUUCUUCUUCAAGACCACCAAAAAUCGGACAAACCCACCUGAAACCAGCGACCCCUACCAGUUCGUCCCCACCACAACCAAACCAACGACCCCUACUUCACCAAAAAACAACCAGCGGCGACACUUCUGAAAGGAGAGCUUCAGCCGCUGUUGUUGUUGGAUUUUGUCACGGUUCCGGCGAGUUUUUGAGGUCUAGAUCGAAUGUCCUGUUUUGAGUUGCCGAGUUUUUUUCUUUUUCAAUUUCGAUAGAGGUCCUUGGUCAACGUCCCAUUUAGACUAUUUUUGGAAAAAAAAUCUUCAUCAAUUGCAAAGGUUCAAUUCCUCCUCUGAUUUAAUCUUUUUGUUUGUUGAAAUGGCUUAUAAAUUUGGUGAUAGAUUCGUAGUUUAUCGUCUAUUUGUUAAGAUGGAAUUACUGGAGUUAUUUCUUAUGUUUGGUUUUUGAUCUUUUGAAUCUAGUUGUGAUUUGGGUUAAUUUGAGUGAUUUUGAUUGUUAAAGCAUAGACUGAGCUAAGAAUAAAGAAAAUUCACUCUUUCCUUCAUUAAAUUUCCGCUCGAAAUAAGUGCACUGUUAGCAUAAACAUUGACUAAUUUGUUAUCAUUGUUAGGUGCAAUCUUGUUUUUUUGUGUAAUUUUUGAAAUUUGCCCACUACUUAGAUUAUUGUACUAUUUUUGAGGUUCAAGAAUUCUUUUUGAUCAGCGGUUAAUGAAUGUGAGUUUGUUGUGACGUGAGCAAUUCGGAAAAUUGGGAAUGCGAAUGGGGAUGUGGUGCAUGCGUUGUUUAUCACUUCUUUAUAAUAGUCGGGGAUGGUUUUCUAGUUUGUUUCUAAAAGAGAUUGCAAUACACAACUCUUCCUUCUGCAUCCAAGAUAAUUUAAAAUGGGAUAAAUUUAUGUUAAAGGAAAGUGAGGAAUAG